Ochotona curzoniae (black-lipped pika) is the source of this 100-nucleotide long non-coding RNA. RefSeq lists it as uncharacterized. The record is from RefSeq and is a predicted model, not a curated record. The transcript has 3 exons. NCBI's taxonomy places the organism in Eukaryota, Metazoa, Chordata, Mammalia, Lagomorpha, Ochotonidae.
CUGGAUGGGAGCGGGGCUGCCGGGAUUAGAACCAGUGCCCAUAUGGGAUCCCGGGCGUGCAAGGCAAGGACCUUAUCCAGUGUGCCAUCGCCCCGGGCCC